GUAGGUGGCAAGCGUUGUCCGGAAUUAUUGGGCGUAAAGCGCGCGCAGGCGGUCCUUUAAGUCUGAUGUGAAAGCCCACGGCUCAACCGUGGAGGGUCAUUGGAAACUGGGGGACUUGAGUACAGAAGAGGAAAGCGGAAUUCCAAGUGUAGCGGUGAAAUGCGUAGAGAUUUGGAGGAACACCAGUGGCGAAGGCGGCUUUCUGGUCUGUAACUGACGCUGAGGCGCGAAAGCGUGGGGAGCAAACAGGGAUUAGAUACCCUGGUAGUCACGCCGUAAACGAUGAGUGCUAAGUGUUAGGGGGUUUCCCGCCCCUUAGUGCUGCAGCUAACGCAUUAAGCACUCCGCCUGGGGAGUACGGCCGCAAGGCUG
RNAcentral lists this ribosomal RNA (372 nucleotides) under uncultured organism. RNAcentral's name for it is "partial 16S ribosomal RNA". It matches the Rfam family "Bacterial small subunit ribosomal RNA", at positions 527 to 896 of the family's 1533-position model. The record is from RNAcentral.